AAAACCUAUACAUGGGGGGUACUGUUUUACUCAUGAGACAGUUCUGAAUACAAAUAUGUAUGUUUUAUUGCAGUAAAACCUAACAGUAUUGUGACAUCAGUUAAACUGACAUGCAGAAAUUGAAAAAUAUCAAAAUUUCUUAAGUUUUUAAACUUUUUUAGAUUUUAUUCAUAUAAAAUGGAGUUAUAUAUGAAUGUUUGAUAUGGAAUGAAAGCCCUGUUUCCCCUGAACAAACCGAUAUAUAAUAAGUGUGGGUGCACUUAGUAAGAAAGAGGUAAAUUAUAGUUGAACAGACAGAGAGUCAAAUUCUGUGGUUUGUUUACAUUUUGUUUUGAUCACAACUUGUACAUUUGGCUCCGUCCUUAAGGGGUUAACCAUCGCAUAUGGAUAACAGAAUCUGGAUAUUCUCUACUUGUGCUUCACAAAUAAAAGUGGAAGGAAAUGGCUGUCAGGUAUAAGGCAUGUACUUCUUUGGUAUUAUUGUAAGUAACAGUGCCAAAAAUGAAACUUAGGGUGGCUUGGGGAUGUAGAGGGAAGUGAUUUUAACUUUUUCCUCAAAGCCAUCACUAGCGACAGCUGAUGAAAAUGACAAAACUUGGCCGUUUUGUC
Non-coding RNA from Pelobates cultripes (western spadefoot toad), 609 nucleotides. The record is from the annotation of a GenBank genome assembly. Lineage: Eukaryota; Metazoa; Chordata; Amphibia; Anura; Pelobatidae.